RNAcentral lists this non-coding RNA (148 nucleotides) under Chlorocebus sabaeus (green monkey). Lineage: Eukaryota; Metazoa; Chordata; Mammalia; Primates; Cercopithecidae. The record is from Rfam by way of RNAcentral.
GCUGGGCGUGGUGAUGCAUGCCUGUAAUCCCAACUACUUGGGAGGCUGAGGCAGGAGAAUUGCUUGAACCCAGGAGGUGGAGGCUGCAGUGAGCCGAGAUUGUGCCACUACACUCCAGCCUGGGUGACAGAGUGAGACUCUGUCUCAA